Molecule: long non-coding RNA, 416 nt
Organism: Cyprinus carpio carpio
Lineage: Eukaryota; Metazoa; Chordata; Actinopteri; Cypriniformes; Cyprinidae
Source: Ensembl
AUGAUGAUGAAACUAAUGGCUCCAGCCUUUUCUAACGGCUCAAGAAUCAUCUGCGCUUCCAGAUGCCACGUGACACACGUCGACACCGCAGGCCGUAAUGCAGCGGGGCCGCUGUUGAUUUGGCUCGCGCUUUAUUCUGAGUGGAUAAUGUGUGGUGGUGAGGGAGCCAGGGACCUUGUCCGAGACACCGAUACUGAGCGACUCUUCCUCAGAGUGAGCCAGUGAAGAGGAUCGGAUAAAGUGAGCAAGAAAUCCCUGAUGACAAAUUAUAUCUUCACCAGUUUUUGAUUGGUGCUUUGAUGUAAGCGAUCUCCCAGGGCAGGCGAGGGAACAAGACCCGGGUUUAUUAACGCAUGAUGCCUGCCGCUACGAUCAGACUUCACGGUUACAACCACACGGCCUAGACUACCCAUCAG